RNAcentral lists this ribosomal RNA (445 nucleotides) under uncultured bacterium. Its description in RNAcentral is "partial 16S ribosomal RNA". It matches the Rfam family "Bacterial small subunit ribosomal RNA", at positions 354 to 796 of the family's 1533-position model. The record is from RNAcentral.
GUGAGGAAUAUUGGUCAAUGGGCGAAAGCCUGAACCAGCCAUGUCGCGUGAAGGAUGAAGGUCCUAUGGAUUGUAAACUUCUUUUGCAGGAGGGUAAAGUGAGCUACGUGUAGUUCAUUGCAAGUACCCUGCGAAUAAGCAUCGGCUAACUCCGUGCCAGCAGCCGCGGUAAUACGGAGGAUGCGAGCGUUAUCCGGAUUUAUUGGGUUUACAGGGUGCGUAGGCGGACUAAUUAGUCAGCGGUGAAAUUUUGCGGCUCAACCGUAAAACUGCCGUUGAAACUGUUAGUCUUGAGUGCGGUAGAGGUAGGCGGAAUGUGUGGUGUAGCGGUGAAAUGCUUAGAUAUCACACAGAACACCGAUUGCGUAGGCAGCUUACUGGAGCGCAACUGACGCUGAGGCACGAAAGCGUGGGGAUCGAACAGGAUUAGAUACCCGUGUAGUCC